RNAcentral lists this ribosomal RNA (477 nucleotides) under uncultured bacterium. RNAcentral's name for it is "bacterial SSU rRNA". It matches the Rfam family "Bacterial small subunit ribosomal RNA", at positions 32 to 507 of the family's 1533-position model. The record is from RNAcentral.
AACGUUGGCGGCGUGCUUAAUACAUGCAAGUCAACUGAAGCACCGGUAGUAAUACUGGUGUGGAGGUGGCGCACGGGUGAGUAACACGUAGGUAAUCUGCCUUCAGGUCUGACAUAACCCCGAGAAAUCGGGGCUAAUAGCAGAUGAUGCAGCGGCUUGACAUCAAGACAGUUGUUAAAGCUUCGGCGCCUGAAGAUGAGCCUGCGUCUGAUUAGCUAGUUGGCGGAGUAAUAGCCCACCAAGGCGACGAUCAGUAGCUGGUCUGAGAGGAUGAUCAGCCACACUGGAACUGAGACACGGUCCAGACUCCUACGGGAGGCAGCAGUAAGGAAUAUUGCUCAAUGGGAGAAAUCCUGAAGCAGUAACGCCGCGUGAGGGAUGAAGGGCUUUUGCUCGUAAACCUCUGUAGUGAGGGAAAAAAUUUCCAUUCUAUGGAAUAUGAUGGUACCUCAAAAGUAAGCCCCGGCUAACUACGUG